CAAUUAAACGGAGCUUUAGGGCCUGAGCAGAUCAGUCCCUGGCUGGGACCAGAACUGGAAAGCAGUGAAACUCCACAGGUAAAGAGGCCUGGGAGAGAUGCUGCUCAAACAGGUAACCAAUGAAGAACUCAAGAAGGUGAAGGGACUAAGUGGGAAGCAGCCCAGGGAAAGCAGCAGUAGCCAUUAAAGGUAAACAGUACGGGGCUGCUGUCUAUAGGGUCCCUGGGUUAGGACCCUGAAUCCCCCCUACUGACCACUGGAAAAGUGGUGUAAGCCCCAAGAUGGGGAUAAGACUCUGCAUUAAAAUCCCAAGGAAGAGGCUGGGAAUGUAAACAGGCCCAGGGACAGGGCUGAAGAUGCUGAAGAGGGCCAGCCAUUCAUUGAACUUUGUUACCCCAGAUGGGGGCUGAACUUGAAGGAGUGACCUGGCUGGAGAGCUGGGGCAAUGAAAAUUGGUAAAGGCAAAAAGUCUCCAGGGAGAAAGCCCUGGGAGCACUGCUCUAUACCAGGGCAGGCACGGACUAGAAGGGCCUGAGGACUGAGCCCAGAGACAGGGCUACAGACAUUAACAAGGGCAUAGGGACAGGUCCCAGGGGGCUUUUUACCCUGUUCAUCCAUCCAUUCACCUAUUAACUGAGUGACUUAGCCAGGGGGCUGAGCCACUGAAGACCUGCCUGAUAAAGGCAACAGUCAACAGGAGGCACUGGGAGUAGAGAAAGGAGAGAGAGAAGAAUCGCACCCAGCUGACAGGAGGUGAUCACAAGAGGCAAAACUCUCCUGGACUUCAAUGGAAUUUUUGCCACAGUAAUGAGAACAGGAUCAGAUCAACAGCUAGAAAUACAGAUUGCAGCAGUGGAGGAAGCAGUAGGGGCCGCCGAGGUCCUCGCUCUCCCCUGAAGUUCUCUAGCGCAGAGAUUGGGAACCUUCUCUUGGACCUUGCAGGAACCUGUUUUCUGUUGCAUAUAUAAACAGGAUCUGAAUGAGCUCUCCCCUGACAUCUACUGAUGAGCUGGAGGAAAAGACUUCAGAAACACACCAUGUUUGCAUAG
Long non-coding RNA from Mauremys mutica (yellowpond turtle), 1049 nucleotides. RefSeq lists it as uncharacterized. The record is from RefSeq and is a predicted model, not a curated record. Lineage: Eukaryota; Metazoa; Chordata; Testudines; Geoemydidae. The transcript has 3 exons.